AAUCCCCACACUGGUACUGAGACACGGACCAGACUCCUACGGGAGGCAGCAGUAAGGAAUAUUGGUCAAUGGAGGGAACUCUGAACCAGCCAUGCCGCGUGCAGGAUGACUGCCCUAUGGGUUGUAAACUGCUUUUGUCCAGGAAUAAACCUUACUACGUGUAGUAAGCUGAAUGUACUGGAAGAAUAAGGAUCGGCUAA
This 200-nucleotide ribosomal RNA is filed under the name uncultured Sphingobacterium sp. Its description in RNAcentral is "partial 16S ribosomal RNA". It matches the Rfam family "Bacterial small subunit ribosomal RNA", at positions 303 to 500 of the family's 1533-position model. The record is from RNAcentral. Lineage: Bacteria; Pseudomonadati; Bacteroidota; Sphingobacteriia; Sphingobacteriales; Sphingobacteriaceae.